CUACGGGGCGCACCAGUAAGGAAUAUUGGUCAAUGGACGCAAGUCUGAACCAGCCAUGCCGCGUGCAGGAAGACGGUCCUCUGGAUUGUAAACUGCUUUUGUCAGGGAAGAAACCUUCGGAUGCGUUCGAAGCUGACGGUACCUGAAGAAUAAGGAUCGGCUAACUCCGUGCCAGCAGCCGCGGUAAUACGGAGGAUCCAAGCGUUAUCCGGAUUUAUUGGGUUUAAAGGGUGCGUAGGCGGCGUUGUAAGUCAGUGGUGAAAGUUUGCAGCUUAACUGUAAAAUUGCCAUUGAUACUGCAGUGCUUGAGUACAGAUGAGGUGGGCGGAAUGUGUCAUGUAGCGGUGAAAUGCAUAGAUAUGACACAGAACACCGAUUGCGAAGGCAGCUCACUAAGCUGUAACUGACGCUGAGGCACGAAAGCGUGGGGAUCAAACAGGAUUAGAUACCCGCGUAGUC
This 459-nucleotide ribosomal RNA is filed under the name uncultured bacterium. Its description in RNAcentral is "partial 16S ribosomal RNA". It matches the Rfam family "Bacterial small subunit ribosomal RNA", at positions 339 to 795 of the family's 1533-position model. The record is from RNAcentral.